UCCAGGAAGCGGUCAUUCGCUCCUUUCCUUUAGGGGAUUGGAGAGGAAAGUCCGGACAUCGUAGGGCAGGAUUCCCCGUGAAAGUGGGGGAAGCUCGCCUAAAAGCGAGCUCACGGCCAGUGCCACAGAAAACAAACCGCCUCCCUUGGGGGGUAAGGGUGAAAAGGUGGGGUAAGAGCUCACCGCCGCGAGAGCAAUCAAGCGGGCAUGGUAAACCCAAUCCGAUGCAAGACGAAAUAGGGGACCGGGCUGCUCGUCCAAUGGUUCCGGGUACGUCGCGUCCCGCUUUGGCGGGAACCGAGGUCAACUCGAUAGAUGAAUGAAUGACAAAUUCAGCCUACGGGCAGAAUUUACAGAAUCCGGCUUACAGCUUCCUGGAAUCC
This 383-nucleotide RNase P RNA is filed under the name Opitutia bacterium. Its description in RNAcentral is "RNase P RNA component class A". It matches the Rfam family "Bacterial RNase P class A". Rfam says of the family: Ribonuclease P (RNase P) is a ubiquitous endoribonuclease, found in archaea, bacteria and eukarya as well as chloroplasts and mitochondria. Its best characterised activity is the generation of mature 5'-ends of tRNAs by cleaving the 5'-leader elements of precursor-tRNAs. Cellular RNase Ps are ribonucleoproteins. The record is from RNAcentral. Lineage: Bacteria; Pseudomonadati; Verrucomicrobiota; Opitutia.